GCCUUCAUGGUGUAGCGGUCAACACGCUCGGCGCGUAUUCGAGAGAUCCGAGGUUCGAUUCCCGGAGAGAGCA
This 73-nucleotide transfer RNA is filed under the name Stegodyphus mimosarum. It matches the Rfam family "tRNA". Rfam says of the family: Transfer RNA (tRNA) molecules are approximately 80 nucleotides in length. Their secondary structure includes four short double-helical elements and three loops (D, anti-codon, and T loops). Further hydrogen bonds mediate the characteristic L-shaped molecular structure. tRNAs have two regions of fundamental functional importance: the anti-codon, which is responsible for specific mRNA codon recognition, and the 3' end, to which the tRNAs corresponding amino acid is attached (by aminoacyl-tRNA synthetases). tRNAs cope with the degeneracy of the genetic code in two manners: having more than one tRNA (with a specific anti-codon) for a particular amino acid; and 'wobble' base-pairing, i.e. permitting non-standard base-pairing at the 3rd anti-codon position. Lineage: Eukaryota; Metazoa; Arthropoda; Arachnida; Araneae; Eresidae. The record is from Rfam by way of RNAcentral.